CCGGCACCCGGGUACAGAGUUGGAACCCGCUGAGUGCGUGCUCCUGGGCCGCCCGGUUACCUCGUGCGCCGCCGCUCGCCGGGCCCCGGGGCCUCCCUGCUCCGCCAGGCGCAGCCGCAGGUCACACAGGCGCUGGUGCAGGUCGCGGUUCUCCGCCUGGAGCUGUGCCACCUCGCGCGUCAGGCGCGGGCCCUCGGCUUGGCCCCGCUCCGGCCCGCGCAGCUGCUCGUCCCUCAGGCGCUGCACCUCCGCGCACAGCCAGCGAAUGUCCUCCUCCUGCCGCUGCAGGCGCGAGGCCACCGCCUGAGCGGCCAGGGCCUGGGCCGCCAUGGCAGCCUCCUUGUGCCACCUGAGCCCGCCGGCCCAGUCAGAGUGACAAGGAGACGGGGCGGGGCGGAGCUGAAGGGACUCGGGAGGCGGAGUGAAGUGGGGGGUGCAUCACUAUACGGGGCGGGGCUGGGGCCGGGUAUCCCUGCAUGGGGCGGAGCGAUGCACGGGCAAGAGGCGGGGCCAUAUCGCGGCAACUGGGCAGGGGCGAGGCGAUGGGCAAUGAAGAGGGC
RNAcentral lists this long non-coding RNA (560 nucleotides) under Rattus norvegicus (Norway rat). RNAcentral describes it as "long non-coding RNA NONRATT002744". The record is from RNAcentral. Lineage: Eukaryota; Metazoa; Chordata; Mammalia; Rodentia; Muridae.